This 72-nucleotide transfer RNA is filed under the name Rubrivirga sp. SAORIC476. RNAcentral's name for it is "tRNA-Thr". It matches the Rfam family "tRNA". Rfam says of the family: Transfer RNA (tRNA) molecules are approximately 80 nucleotides in length. Their secondary structure includes four short double-helical elements and three loops (D, anti-codon, and T loops). Lineage: Bacteria; Pseudomonadati; Rhodothermota; Rhodothermia; Rhodothermales; Rubricoccaceae. The record is from RNAcentral.
GCCAACGUAGCUCAGGGGUAGAGCAGCUCACUCGUAAUGAGCAGGUCGACGGUUCAAAUCCGUCCGUUGGCU